Molecule: ribosomal RNA, 119 nt
Filed under: Lepisosteus oculatus (spotted gar)
Lineage: Eukaryota; Metazoa; Chordata; Actinopteri; Semionotiformes; Lepisosteidae
Source: RNAcentral
UCCUGCAGCCAUGUCACUCUGCAACUUACAAUUGGUAGCCCACUGAAGCUAAGCAGGUGUGAGCCUGGUCAGUACGUGCAUGAGAGACCUCCUGGGAAAAACUAAGGUUGCUGCUGGAA